CUCCUACGGGGGGCAGCAGUGGGGAAUAUUGCACAAUGGGCGAAAGCCUGAUGCAGCAACGCCGCGUGAAGGAAGAAGGCCUUCGGGUCGUAAACUUCUGUCCUUGGGGAAGAAGAACUGACGGUACCCAAGGAGGAAGCCCCGGCUAACUACGUGCCAGCAGCCGCGGUAAUACGUAGGGGGCAAGCGUUAUCCGGAAUUAUUGGGCGUAAAGAGUACGUAGGUGGCCUGUUAGGUCGGGGGUCAAAUACCGGGGCUCAACCCCGGUCCGCCCCCGAUACCGGCAGGCGUGAGUCUGGGAGGGG
RNAcentral lists this ribosomal RNA (305 nucleotides) under uncultured bacterium. RNAcentral describes it as "bacterial SSU rRNA". It matches the Rfam family "Bacterial small subunit ribosomal RNA", at positions 336 to 657 of the family's 1533-position model. The record is from RNAcentral.